Molecule: non-coding RNA, 2595 nt
Organism: Misgurnus anguillicaudatus (oriental weatherfish)
Lineage: Eukaryota; Metazoa; Chordata; Actinopteri; Cypriniformes; Cobitidae
Source: RefSeq, a predicted model, not a curated record
AGCGACACAACAAGUCGAACGCACCUAUUGGAAAGUAACGGCGCGUGCGGCUGAGAUGCGGCUGUAGCAGAGUGAAAACAUGGAUGUUUUUGGCGUGUUUCUUCUUUUACAACAUAUUAUCCAGUUCAUUUAUCGAUCCGACCAACACGUGAAUAUAUGAUCCUCGUUCAGAGGUCAACCUCUUUGACAUCAUCAUGCAGGACCAAUAUGUUACCAUUCAUGGGCUUAACAUCACCCACAGCCCUCUUGCAGCACCAGCAAUGUCUAUCGACAAUCUCUUCCCGGCCCUGCUGGAAUGCUUUGGCAUCAUCCUGUGUGGGUAUGUGGCGGGUCGCAGUGACAUCAUCAGCGUGGGACAAGUCAAAGGCCUGGGCAGCUUUGUGUCAUGUUUUGCACUUCCAGCCCUGCUCUUUAAGAACAUGGUGGAGCUGCGGUUCGAGCACGUCGUCUGGUCGUUCCUCUGGAGCAUCUUAAUCGCAAAAGUGUGUGUGUUCUUGUUGGUGGGUGUCUUGACCCUGUUGGUGGCGAGCCCAGAGAGCAAAUUUAGUAAAGCUGGGCUGUAUGCUAUCUUUGCCACUCAGAGCAACGACUUUGCACUGGGAUAUCCAAUAGUGGAUGCUCUGUACAGAAGUUCAUACCCAGAGUAUGUACAGUAUAUAUAUCUGGUGGCCCCUGUGUCCUUGAUUUUGCUAAAUCCGGUGGGCUUUGCGCUGUGUGAGAUCCAGCGAUGGAGACAGACCACCGACUGCAACUACAGCAAACUACACGUGAUGUUUACUGUCGUACUGCAGAUUUUGAAGAAUCCAAUAGUCUUCAUGGUUAUUGUAGGAAUUCUUUCCCAUUUCCUGUUUGGGGGGCGUGUCCCUGUUUUGCUCGGGGAGUUUGUUGAUGGACUGGCAAACUCUUUCGGUGGGGCGGCACUCUUUUACCUGGGACUGAACAUGGUGGGACAGAUGCGCAAGCUCACGCGGACCACAGGGGUUUCUCUUAUUUUGCUUAUCACUGCCAAACUGCUGGUUAUGCCGUUGAUGUGUAAGAACAUGGUGGAGUUAUUGGAUGCUGGUAAUUUCAGUUUUGUGAAUCACUCCAGUCUGUCUGAUUAUGCUUUCUUGUAUGGAGUCUUCCCCACCGCACCCAGUGUGGGAAUUUAUGCUGCCCAAUACAACAUGGAGCUGGAGGUGGUGACCGCUGGGAUGGUCAUCAGCACGUUCCUGUCAGCGCCCAUCAUGUAUGUUUCGGCAUGGUUACUGACAAUUCCAUGGAUGGAGGCCACAUCUCUUGUGACGGAGUUACAGGACGUGAGAUUGAACAUCAGUGCUGUCAGUCUAAUAGCCCUGGUUUGGACGCUUGCUGUCAUGCUGCUGAGUAAGAAGUUUAGGAGACCACCACAUAUGUUUGCCACAAAUCUGUUCUUUGCACAGCUCCUAACAUGCGUGUGGAUGAUCAUCUGGAAGUUUGUGCUGGAGCAGGGGAGCGCAUUUGGCCAGAUUGUCAUCUUUACUCUUCUCUACGGGUGUCUGUACAGUACCUACAUGUGGACAGGUCUUUUGGCGUUUUCUCUCACUUUAUUGAGGAGAAAUGAAAAUUUGAGGGUGAAACCGUGGAUUUUCAUGAUGUUCGGAUGGGGCAUUCCUUUUGUUGUUGUGGGUGGUUUGCUUAUAGUAGGACAAAGAAUGAUGGACAACUUUGACUCCGCCUUCUUUUACGGCAAAGGGCAGAUGGUGUGUACUCUUCUGGUUUUGGGCUGCAGCAUCGUUCUGGGUGGCAUGUCUCUUAUGGGUUUGGGCCGAGGGGUCCAGGAGGAGCAGAACUACGAAGCCCUUGUGCAGAACUUCAUGACGGGUACAACAGAAGAUGUGAGACACCCCCAAACAGACAGCCAGUACUCACCAGUGCUUGCACCAACCCACAGCAGCCUCAACACGGAUGGUUUUGGUAGCGAACCAAUGCCAGAUAUGAUAGUUGGACAUCUCAACGACUCACAGAGGCCAUCUGCAGGGGUUCUGCUGAGCGAGGCGUCAAGCUCUACUCGCGUACAGGAGGAGAGACAGAUAGCUCGGCAUGUACUCCUCUGUCUGCUUCUGAUUAUCAGCAUGUUGGCGAACCUGUCCAGCUGCCUGUGGUGGUUGCUCAAUGCAGAUCCAGGGCGCCUCUACCUGGAGUUGCAGUUCUUUUGUGCUGUAGCCAAUUAUGGACAGGGUUUUAUAUCCUUUGCGCUUUUUGGGUUGGAUGAACAUUUUAUCAUUCUUCCAUUCAAAAAGAGGCUGGCUGCUCUGUGUGGUUUCGGUCAGGGUGAAAACCCCGAGCCAACCGCAGUGCAAGAGGAGAUUCGACUCACCUGUACGCAGUUCGUGCGGUACCACAAAGAUCAGUGCGUUCAGGAUGUCGUCCGUAAUAGAGGUUUCUUCCUCUCUUAUCUGUUCCUUUCACUUCCUUCUUAGUGGAUCUUCUGAAUCUCUUACGGGACCAGUAGGAGAAUCCUUCCUUUGAUCAACAGAUGCCUCCAAAGAAGGGAGAAGAAUCAAAACCACCACCUCUGAUUGGACGUUUUGGGACUUCGUUGAAAAUUGGAAUUGUUGGAUUACCAAAUGUGGG